Molecule: transfer RNA, 81 nt
Rfam family: tRNA
About the family: Transfer RNA (tRNA) molecules are approximately 80 nucleotides in length. Their secondary structure includes four short double-helical elements and three loops (D, anti-codon, and T loops). Further hydrogen bonds mediate the characteristic L-shaped molecular structure. tRNAs have two regions of fundamental functional importance: the anti-codon, which is responsible for specific mRNA codon recognition, and the 3' end, to which the tRNAs corresponding amino acid is attached (by aminoacyl-tRNA synthetases). tRNAs cope with the degeneracy of the genetic code in two manners: having more than one tRNA (with a specific anti-codon) for a particular amino acid; and 'wobble' base-pairing, i.e. permitting non-standard base-pairing at the 3rd anti-codon position.
Source: Rfam
GCCUUGUUGGCUAAGUGGUAUAGCGUCUCACUAGUAUCUAGUGUCAUGAGAAGAUCGGCGGUUCGAUUCCGCCACGAGGCA